This 497-nucleotide ribosomal RNA is filed under the name uncultured bacterium. RNAcentral describes it as "partial 16S ribosomal RNA". It matches the Rfam family "Bacterial small subunit ribosomal RNA", at positions 28 to 507 of the family's 1533-position model. The record is from RNAcentral.
GACGAACGCUGGCGGCGUGCCUAAUACAUGCAAGUCGAACGCUGAAGAGAGGAGCUUGCUCUUCUUGGGUGAGUUGCGAACGGGUGAGUAACGCGUAGGUAACCUGCCUUGUAGCGGGGGAUAACUAUUGGAAACGAUAGCUCAUACCGCAUAACAAUGGAUGACACAUGUCAUUUAUUUGAAAGGGGCAAUUGCUCCACUAAAAGAUGGACCUGCGUUGUAUUAGCUAGUAGGUGAGGUAAUGGCUCACCUAGGCGAAGAUACAUAGCCGACCUGAGCGGGUGAUCGGGCACACUGGGAAUGAGACACGGCCCCGACUCCUACGGGAGGCAGCAGUAGGGAAACUUCGGCAAUGGGGGCAACCCUGACUGAAGAACGCCGCGUUGGUGAAGGAGGGUGUCGGAUCGGAAAGCUCUGUUGUAAGUCAAGGACGGGGGGGUGAGUAGAAAGUCCACACUGUGACGGUAGCGUAACAGAAAGGGACGGCUAACUACGUG